Molecule: long non-coding RNA, 214 nt
Filed under: Manihot esculenta (cassava)
Lineage: Eukaryota; Viridiplantae; Streptophyta; Magnoliopsida; Malpighiales; Euphorbiaceae
Description: long non-coding RNA (MESC_LNC009527)
Source: RNAcentral
UUUAAUCUCUUCAAACAUAAUACCUGGCCCAAUCAUUCUCAUUCAUUACCAGCAUUUACUCCCUUUUAAACCAAUUUCAAUUCAUUGAUUUCCUCAUCAAAUCAAACCAUUUGUCUAAAUGUCCAGAUCUUGUACCACUCACAGAUCUCGAGUUCAUCAUAGCAAAAGAUGGACAAUAGCCAACAAUCCUUGUGCAUGCAAAGCAAUCAAAUCA